Molecule: ribosomal RNA, 305 nt
Filed under: uncultured bacterium
Lineage: Bacteria
Description: bacterial SSU rRNA
Rfam family: Bacterial small subunit ribosomal RNA
Source: RNAcentral
CCUACGGGGGGCAGCAGUGGGGGAUAUUGCACAAUGGGGGGAACCCUGAUGCAGCGACGCCGCGUGGGCGAUGGAGUGCUUCGGCAUGUAAAGCCCUAUCAGCAGGGAAGAAAAUGACGGUACCUGACUAAGAAGCCCCGGCUAAAUACGUGCCAGCAGCCGCGGUAAUACGUAUGGGGCAAGCGUUAUCCGGAUUUACUGGGUGUAAAGGGAGCGUAGGCGGCCUGGCAAGCCUGAUGUGAAAUACCGGGGCCCAACCCCGGGGCUGCAUUGGGAACUGCCAGGCUGGAGUGCCGGAGAGGCAG